RNAcentral lists this long non-coding RNA (3179 nucleotides) under Homo sapiens (human). Its description in RNAcentral is "HSALNT0340802". Lineage: Eukaryota; Metazoa; Chordata; Mammalia; Primates; Hominidae. The record is from RNAcentral.
UGUAGGCAUCUGGAAAAUGUGUCUUUAUUAAAAUUACAUUUAAAAACGAGUGAUAUUCAGGGUCAUGACUUUCUGAACCCAUCAGAGAGCUGAAUUGCAGGGCAAUUAAAUAGUUUAAAAUGAAGGAAAGAGAGGUGCCUCCUACAAUAACAGAGAUGGGCUGCAAACAUUGGAUGACCUGUGGCAGAGCACGGAAAGAAGGCAAGGAUGACAGCUACAUGCAGACAAGGUCUCCAGAUUUGCCACCCAUGCUGAGUGCCGUGGUGUGAUCAUGGCUUAUUUCAACCUCAACCUCCCCCACUCAAGCGAUCCUCCUGCCUCAGCCUCUGGAGUAGCUGGGACUACAGGCACGCACCACCACACCCAGCCAUAAUUUGCCUCUUGCUGUAACUAAAAGGUCACAAAAACAAAGAAUUCUAAAAAAUCUUCUUCUUAAGUGGUAUGUUUAGUAUUUAUCAUGAUGACAAUGUUCUAAAUUGCACCUGCCUCCACUAGCAGAAUGCCAGGAUUACUGCCAGACAGAGAAUUCGGACUGCUGGUCCAGGGACAUAGCUAUGAAAUGCACCAAGGACAGCAGAGUGUGUUUUGGAGAAAGCCAGGUAGCUCUUGAUAGGGCCUAUAUGAGUACUUAUUCCUGCUGAUAGGAAAAAAAUGAUUAGAAAAAUCUCAUUUCUUUAUUCAUUUCUACUCUGAGAGCUUUUUACUUCUAGAAACACGGUCUUAGUUUUCUGUGUUAUUAUGUUUUUUUUUUGAAACUGACAAAAUUUCACAAUUAAUUUAUGUUCAUUCAAAUGUUUAAUAAUUAUACCUUGAAUUUGUCUUAUAAUUAGUAUUUUCUUGUUAUUUCCAACAAGAGAAAGUGUGCAGGAAAAGGGACUAGAUCAGGUUGAGAGAGCCAGGGGUGUUCAGUCAAGCAGGCAGAACUCAGGACACUGAACGGGGUGAGUAUGAGGCAGCCAGAGUCCCCAGACCCGCAGAGGAGGGUCCAAAGGACAGCUUUUCAUGAUCCAGGAAGGAAAUCUCCUUCAAUAACGUCUCUCCUUCAAGAAGCUGGGGGUGUCGCUGGGAUUUAACGUAGAGAUUCCAGUCUUAGAUUGAGGGAAGGAAGGGAGGCAAAAGGAAGGAAGCCUCGCAUCCUCAUGCGAAGAAGCCAGCUUGUAGAAAUGAAGCUCAAAAUGAUCCCUACAGCACAAGCAGUCCAGGGCAUGUGGACUCCUGCUGGGUUGGGGCCAGGACAGGAGAAGAAAGUUUGAUACAGGCCUGAGGCUCGGGAGCCCUGCACUGGCUGUGCGUCUCUACAACCAUCCCAGAGUCGGCCCAGGUACCAGGUCUUCUGGCUCAGAUAAAGAUCACACAUGACUCGCCUGAAAACUUGAGGCAGAGGUGUGCCAUUGUCACAAAAGGCGCUGUCAGGGUGGAGGCUCAGGGAAUGAUAGAGGAGCUCUUGAAUCACCCUGGAGAAAUUUUACCUCGGUCAGACAGCUACAGAGCCGACUUAAUAUUUUUAUUUAAAAUCUAGAUUAUUUGGGGGCUGGUUUGGAAAUGGGGGAGAUCUGUGAGUCCAGGCAUGGUAGCAGGAAGAGAAGAGGCUUCCUUGUAACCCUACUGACUCUUCCUCUCACUUGUCCCAAAAGCACAGGGUGAGAGACAAGAACAUUGGUACAGUGCGUUCAGGAAACUUUUCAACUUUUUAUGUGUAGUGUACCAAAAUAUUUUUUCACACAUGCAAAGACAGUGGUCAGGGGCUAUUCUGGCUUGUUAGAAAAAAGGAUGUGACGUUUUCCAGUCCCUGGGUGGGUCUCAGUUCUCUUAGAGGCUCUGCCUCUCACUCACACCUCUGCUAGAGGAAUGCGAGGAAGCUCUGACAAGAUUGUGAUCUGGGGACACGUUUGCCACCUCAGCGCCAAGGCUGACGUGGGGACAUGGGCUACUCAGUGAACGCACUUUACCCAGGAUACCAAGGGCACUUAAUGAUACCGACAGUUCUGUUUACAUCCUUCUCCACUGCCUCCAGCAUCAUUCAAGGCGUAAUCUCUUGGAAAAGUUUGAUUAGAAUGAAUUCUAGUUUGGCGUAGGUUAUUAUGCACCUAAAUUGGCUAAACUUAGCUUCAUAUAUCAAACAUAAGAUAUACAUCUCUAGAGAUGCGUCUGUGGAGACCUCCAUAGGCACCAGUAUAUAUUAUUCUAAGUUUUACCUCUUUUCUUGUGGAUUACUAACUUUGUGGUUCUCCCUUGAUUAGGUUUAUAUGCAAUUUUCUUAGAAAAUGUCAACUCCAAUUCUGCAACAUACUGAGCCCCUUUAUUGGAAACUUCAAAGUUCCUAGUCCAAUCCUAAUUCUAGAUCUUACUUCAUAUGUUGCUUUUAUCUUCUCUUGGGUAAUGGGUCAUUUCAAGGGUGAUUUUUUUGACUUUAUCUUAUUGGGGAUAUAAGUGCAGAUAAAGGAGAUACAGACGAGCAUUUAAUUUUUUUUUUCAGUGCAGUGAUUAUGGAGUCAGGGUAGUAUUUCUGCUGUGUAUGGUAAACUCCAUAGGAUCUCAUUUAUUCAUGGUUAAAGGCUUUCCUGGGGAAACCAGUAUGCUAACUUCAGGCAGAUAAUAAAACCUGAGGUAUAUGGAGAGUGUCUACUUUGACACAUUCAGGGCUAGCCCUCUCCUGCUGGUGCAGUUCAAUGUGAAUUUAGUCAUUUGUGGUCACUUAACAGCAAAGAGAUCUUUCUACAGAGUCUAGCUGUGCUGAUUAUCAAACUGGGGAAAAUUGAUGGCCAUUUGUUAUGGCUAAUAACACAGGUGCCGGUCAACUUUAUAAAAAUGUAGAAAAGUAUUUGCGGUGAAAAUUAUCCUAACCAUUGUGGAAAAAUGCCCAUCCCACUUCAAUUCAUAGCUGAAUACAUAUAGGAACUACAGUUCUCAGACCUGCAGUGAGUUCUGACCAAUGGAAUUCAGUGGGAUGAUAGAUGCUGCCUUUGAAGCCACCCCAUCAACUGGCUCAUCUCCUCCUGUCUCAGCUCUUUCUCCUGCUGCAUCCUGAUGCAGGACCACUGCACAACCUCACAAACCUUAUGUGGAAAGUAGUGGAGCCACCAGAUGUUAUGGGUAUCCUUUAAUGGAGAACUUUACACUACUUUGAAAUGACAGUUUUAUACUUUUCAUAAGAAAGAAAUAAACUUCCAUUGUACUAA